This 320-nucleotide ribosomal RNA is filed under the name uncultured eukaryote. RNAcentral's name for it is "partial 18S ribosomal RNA". It matches the Rfam family "Eukaryotic small subunit ribosomal RNA", at positions 1470 to 1796 of the family's 1831-position model. The record is from RNAcentral.
CCCCUAGAUGUUCUGGGCCGCACGCGCGCUACACUGAACAGUUCAACAAGUCUUAACCUUGGCCGAUAGGUCUGGGUAAUCUUUGAACGCUGUUCGUGAUUGGGAUAGACCUUUGCAAUUAUGGGUCUUCAACGAGGAAUUCCUAGUAAACGCAAGUCAUCAGCUUGCAUUGAUUACGUCCCUGCCCUUUGUACACACCGCCCGUCGCACCUACCGAUUGAAUGGUCCGGUGAAAUCUCGGGACGGCGGCUUGGUCGCUUGCGUCCGACUGCUGAAACUUGAUUAAACUAUAUCAUUUAGAGGAAGGUGAAGUCGUAACA